UACAGAGGUCUCAAGCGUUGUUCGGAUUCAUUGGGCGUAAAGGGUGCGUAGGCGGCGCGGUAAGUCGGGUGUGAAAUCUUGGAGCUUAACUCCGAAACUGCAUUCGAUACUGCCGUGCUUGAAGACUGGAGAGGAGACUGGAAUUUACGGUGUAGCGGUGAAAUGCGUAGAUAUCGUAAGGAAGACCAGUGGCGAAGGCGGGUCUCUGGACAGUUCCUGACGCUGAAGCACGAAGGCCAGGGGAGCAAACGGG
RNAcentral lists this ribosomal RNA (253 nucleotides) under uncultured bacterium. RNAcentral's name for it is "partial 16S ribosomal RNA". It matches the Rfam family "Bacterial small subunit ribosomal RNA", at positions 524 to 776 of the family's 1533-position model. The record is from RNAcentral.